CCUACGGGAGGCAGCAGUGAGGAAUAUUGGUCAAUGGGCGCGAGCCUGAACCAGCCAAGCCGCGUGAAGGAUGACUGCCCUACGGGUUGUAAACUUCUUUUAUAAAGGAAUAAAGUGAGGCACGUGUGCCUUUUUGUAUGUACUUUAUGAAAAAGGAUCGGCUAACUCCGUGCCAGCAGCCGCGGUAAUACGGAGGAUCCGAGCGUUAUCCGGAUUUAUUGGGUUUAAAGGGAGCGUAGAUGGGUUGUUAAGUCAGUUGUGAAAGUUUGCGGCUCAACCGUAAAAUUGCAAUUGAUACUGGCAGCCUUGAGGGCAGUAGAGGUAGGCGGAAUUCGUGGUGUAGCGGUGAAAUGCUUAGAUAUCACGAAGAACUCCGAUUGCGAAGGCAGCUUACUAAACUGCCACUGACAUUGAUGCUCGAAAGUGUGGGUAUCAAACAGGAUUAGAUACCACUGUAGUC
This 460-nucleotide ribosomal RNA is filed under the name uncultured bacterium. Its description in RNAcentral is "partial 16S ribosomal RNA". It matches the Rfam family "Bacterial small subunit ribosomal RNA", at positions 338 to 795 of the family's 1533-position model. The record is from RNAcentral.